RNAcentral lists this small RNA (145 nucleotides) under Caloramator quimbayensis. Its description in RNAcentral is "Manganese sequence". It matches the Rfam family "Manganese Mn2+ riboswitch aptamer (yybP-ykoY)". From Rfam's summary of the family: This RNA was originally discovered in E. coli during a large scale screen and was named SraF. The family was later found to exist upstream of related families of protein genes in many bacteria, including the the yybP and ykoK genes in B. subtilis. The record is from RNAcentral. Lineage: Bacteria; Bacillati; Bacillota; Clostridia; Eubacteriales; Clostridiaceae.
UUGAGCGUUAAGGGGGAGUAGCUGCCCUUUGGGGUGGUAAAGUCAACAUACUGGCAUAUUUGCCUGGCUUUACCUGAUUAUGUCAAGUGAGACCUUUAACACAGUGGGUUCCAUUGUGUUAAAGGUCUUUUGUUUUACAAAAAUU